RNAcentral lists this long non-coding RNA (414 nucleotides) under Cricetulus griseus (Chinese hamster). Its description in RNAcentral is "lncRNA (ENSCGRG00015041069.1)". The record is from RNAcentral. Lineage: Eukaryota; Metazoa; Chordata; Mammalia; Rodentia; Cricetidae.
CUGGGAUUCAGUGCAGCUGGCAGCGUCAGCAUAACGUAAGACCAAGCAUGGAAGGCAGGAGCAUCAGAAGGUCAAGUUCAUCCUUGGCCACCCAGUGAGUUUGAGAGGUGGACCCCAAAUGCUGCAGUAUGGACCCUCCAGGCAAGAAGUGCAAGAGUGUCGUGACUGUUUGGGAGAUGACCCGCUGCUGUUUUACUGGAUUUAAAGUCUGCUCCAUGGAAGAGAAUGCACAGCUGACGGUACAGCCGUGACCCAUUAUAAGGCGGAGGAGGGGUCGGCUUACUCGCUCUUGGGUCUCAGGGAGCAUCAGAAGGGCAGAGACGGCAUCUUCUGGAGCAGAGAGAACACGUCGGUUAUUUACUCAAUUUUUUUCUUUGUUUUUUUUUUUCUUUAUUCCUUUUUGGUUAUUUACUC